GAGUUUGAUCCUGGCUCAGGAUGAACGCUGGCGGCGUGCCUAAUACAUGCAAGUCGAGCGAACGGACGAGAAGCUUGCUUCUCUGAUGUUAGCGGCGGACGGGUGAGUAACACGUGGAUAACCUACCUAUAAGACUGGGAUAACUUCGGGAAACCGGAGCUAAUACCGGAUAAUAUUUUGAACCGCAUGGUUCAAAAGUGAAAGACGGUCUUGCUGUCACUUAUAGAUGGAUCCGCGCUGCAUUAGCUAGUUGGUAAGGUAACGGCUUACCAAGGCAACGAUGCAUAGCCGACCUGACGAGGGUGAUCGGCCACACUGGAACUGAGACACGGUCCAGACUCCUACGGGAGGCAGCAGUAGGGAAUCUUCGCAAUGGGCAAAGCCUGACGGAGCAACGCCGCGUGAGU
RNAcentral lists this ribosomal RNA (407 nucleotides) under uncultured microorganism. RNAcentral's name for it is "bacterial SSU rRNA". It matches the Rfam family "Bacterial small subunit ribosomal RNA", at positions 9 to 406 of the family's 1533-position model. The record is from RNAcentral.